CGAAUUUUAUCUCCCGAGUUCCCAGUAAUUCGGCAAAUUCUUAUUAGUAAAUGGUCGUCCGUACACUCGCACGUGUGACAAACUGAACUGCAAUAAAUACAAAAUAUCAUCAAACAAACCAGGAAUCCAGGAAACCAGGAAACCAGGAUGCCACCACCCUCAGAAGCCAGAGCGAACGCCCGUGCUUCGAAAUCAUCGGCAUUUGGACGUGGUGACGCCGGUGCCAGUGCUUGCGCACGUCAUUGCGAUGGACGGUGUUACACUGAGACCAACACAUCAACAAGUACGUCGGGAUAUGCGAAUGCGACGGCUACAGCUAACGCAACUUGCGACCGUAAUACUGGAUACGUAUCAGCAGGUGCCAAUGCGAGUGUCCAUACAGGCGGCUGUUCAAAAUGGUGUUUUGUUCUACUUCUCGUCUGCUUCGUCUUGAUUGUUUUGUGGUGGUGACGUAAUAAAUAGAAUUAUCGAGUCUUCUACAAUUUUUAAUUUGACGGAACAUUUGCAAAUUAUGAGGUGUCUAUAGAAAAUACAUUGAAAAGUGCAUUCAAAUUGACA
Molecule: unclassified non-coding RNA, 558 nt
Filed under: Gigantopelta aegis
Lineage: Eukaryota; Metazoa; Mollusca; Gastropoda; Neomphalida; Peltospiridae
Description: uncharacterized LOC121380378, transcript variant X1
Source: RNAcentral